UUCAAUGGGACAACAAAGUUAUUGGAGUGGUCUGUGGGGGUACUACAUUGGAUUUAUUCCAAACCCCUCCCUAUGAUGCGUAGUACCAACUGUAUUGAUUAGAGGAUGAGCUAAUACUCUUAAUGCUUACUAUAGCUGAUAUUCAGUGGGGUGUUUAAAUACAGUGCACCCUUGAUAGUAGCACCUAUUUGAGUGUGGAAGUGGGGUCGCUUCCUAUGAGAAUUGAGGCGAAUUCUCUAGAGCACUCAAAGAAACUGGGAAAGUUCACGGUCGAAAUGAACACAACCGCGAGAACUCAAUGACUGUUCUAGAAAUCAUGUGUGUGUUCUAUUGUCUCAGUUUGCAACUAUAAUUGUAGAGUUCAAGACAUAGUUCACUCUACAGUUAGUAAGCUCGAUAGAAUAUACAAAGCCAAGGUUCAAGUCGAUAGACACCUAAGCC
Molecule: long non-coding RNA, 441 nt
Filed under: Olea europaea (common olive)
Lineage: Eukaryota; Viridiplantae; Streptophyta; Magnoliopsida; Lamiales; Oleaceae
Description: long non-coding RNA (OEUR_LNC003090)
Source: RNAcentral